This 70-nucleotide transfer RNA is filed under the name Dipodomys ordii (Ord's kangaroo rat). It matches the Rfam family "tRNA". From Rfam's summary of the family: Transfer RNA (tRNA) molecules are approximately 80 nucleotides in length. Their secondary structure includes four short double-helical elements and three loops (D, anti-codon, and T loops). The record is from Rfam by way of RNAcentral. Lineage: Eukaryota; Metazoa; Chordata; Mammalia; Rodentia; Heteromyidae.
GGGAAAGUGGCUCAGUGGUAGAGCGCUUGCUUUGCAUGCAUGAGACCCUGGGUUCGAUUCCUCAGCACCA